This 254-nucleotide ribosomal RNA is filed under the name uncultured bacterium. RNAcentral describes it as "partial 16S ribosomal RNA". It matches the Rfam family "Bacterial small subunit ribosomal RNA", at positions 524 to 776 of the family's 1533-position model. The record is from RNAcentral.
GACGUAGGGAGCGAGCGUUGUCCGGAUUCAUUGGGCGUAAAGAGCGCGCAGGCGGUUUGGUAAGUCGGACGUGAAAACCCGGGGCUCAACCCCGGGCGUGCAUCUCGAUACUGCCCGACUAGAGGUAGGUAGGGGAGAUCGGAAUUCCUGGUGUAGCGGUGAAAUGCGCAGAUAUCAGGAGGAACACCCGUGGCGAAAGCAGCUCGCUGGAACGGUACUGACGCUGAGGCGCGAAAGCGUGGGGAGCGAACAGG